Molecule: ribosomal RNA, 253 nt
Filed under: uncultured bacterium
Lineage: Bacteria
Description: partial 16S ribosomal RNA
Rfam family: Bacterial small subunit ribosomal RNA
Source: RNAcentral
UACGUAGGGGGCAAGCGUUGUCCGGAUUUAUUGGGCGUAAAGAGCGUGUAGGCGGCCAGGCAGGUCUGCUGUGAAAACUCGAGGCUUAACCUCGAGCUGUCAGCGGAAACCAUCUGGCUAGAGUCCGGAAGAGGAGAAUGGAAUUCCCGGUGUAGCGGUGAAAUGCGCAGAUAUCAGGAAGAACACCCGUGGCGAAGGCGGCUCUCUGGGACGGUACUGACGCUGAGACGCGAAAGCGUGGGGAGCGAACAGG